CUAAGAGUCGAGUUGUUUGGGAAUGCAGCUCUAAGUGGGUGGUAAAUUCCAUCUAAGGCUAAAUAUUGGCGAGAGACCGAUAGCGAACAAGUACAGUGAUGGAAAGAUGAAAAGAACUUUGAAAAGAGAGUGAAAAAGUACGUGAAAUUGUUGAAAGGGAAGGGCUUGAAGUCAGACAUGGUAUUCAGUGAUCAACUGUCUUUCGGGACUGUGCACUCGCUGUUUUACUGGGCCAGCAUCGGUUUAGGCGGUGAGAUAAAUGCAAAAGAAUGUGGCUCCGCUUUCGGGUGGAGUGUUAUAGCUUUUGUUCAUAUCACCAGCUUGGACCGAGGACCGCGCUUCGGCUAGGAUGCUGGCGUAAUGACUUUAAGCCACCCGUCUUGAAACACGGACCAAGGAGUCUAACGUCUAUGCGAGUGUUUGGGUGUAAAACCCGUACGCGUAAUGAAAGUGAACGUAGAUGAGAGCCCUUAAGGGUGCAUCAUCGACCGAUCCUGAUGUUUUCGGAUGGAUUUGAGUAAGAGCAUAGCUGUUGGGACCCGAAAGAUGGUGAACUAUGCCUGAAUAGGGUGAAGCCAGAGGAAACUCUGGUGGAGGCUCGUAGCGAUUCUGACGUGCAAAUCGAUCGUCAAAUUUGGGUAUAGGGGCGAAAGACUAAUCGAAC
RNAcentral lists this ribosomal RNA (664 nucleotides) under Blastobotrys ciferrii. RNAcentral's name for it is "eukaryotic LSU rRNA". It matches the Rfam family "Eukaryotic large subunit ribosomal RNA", at positions 258 to 940 of the family's 3401-position model. Lineage: Eukaryota; Fungi; Ascomycota; Dipodascomycetes; Dipodascales; Trichomonascaceae. The record is from RNAcentral.